CCUACGGGUGGCUGCAGUGGGGAAUAUUGGACAAUGGGGGGAACCCUGAUCCAGCCAUGCCGCGUGUGUGAAGAAGGCCCUCGGGUUGUAAAGCACUUUCAGUGAGGAAGAACGCCUGGUGGUUAAUACCCAUCAGGAAAGACAUCACUCACAGAAGAAGCACCGGCUAACUCCGUGCCAGCAGCCGCGGUAAUACGGAGGGUGCGAGCGUUAAUCGGAAUUACUGGUCGUAAAGCGCGCGUAGGUGGCUUGAUAAGCCGGUUGUGAAAGCCCCGGGCUCAACCUGGGAACGGCAUCCGGAACUGUCAAGCUAGAGUGCAGGAGAGGAAGGUAGAAUUCCCGGUGUAGCGGUGAAAUGCGUAGAGAUCGGGAGGAAUACCAGUGGCGAAGGCGGCCUUCUGGACUGACACUGACACUGAGGUGCGAAAGCGUGGGUAGCAAACAGGAUUAGAUACCCUAGUAGUC
RNAcentral lists this ribosomal RNA (465 nucleotides) under Vreelandella stevensii. RNAcentral's name for it is "partial 16S ribosomal RNA". It matches the Rfam family "Bacterial small subunit ribosomal RNA", at positions 338 to 795 of the family's 1533-position model. Lineage: Bacteria; Pseudomonadati; Pseudomonadota; Gammaproteobacteria; Oceanospirillales; Halomonadaceae. The record is from RNAcentral.